UGAAAGCCCAGAGGCCAGAGGAAUGC
RNAcentral lists this non-coding RNA (26 nucleotides) under Homo sapiens (human). Lineage: Eukaryota; Metazoa; Chordata; Mammalia; Primates; Hominidae. The record is from RNAcentral.